AUUCUCUGGUUUCUUUUCAGAUCACAUAAAUCUUUCACUUUUACAAAAGAUUUCAAUGGAGAAAAACAACUCUGAGUCUUAAACCAAUUUUUUCAGACCUUGUUUUGGCAAGGCU
This 115-nucleotide small nuclear RNA is filed under the name Castor canadensis (American beaver). RNAcentral's name for it is "U5 spliceosomal RNA (ENSCCNG00000022854.1)". It matches the Rfam family "U5 spliceosomal RNA". From Rfam's summary of the family: U5 RNA is a component of both types of known spliceosome. The precise function of this molecule is unknown, though it is known that the 5' loop is required for splice site selection and p220 binding, and that both the 3' stem-loop and the Sm site are important for Sm protein binding and cap methylation. The record is from Rfam by way of RNAcentral. Lineage: Eukaryota; Metazoa; Chordata; Mammalia; Rodentia; Castoridae.